Molecule: long non-coding RNA, 4240 nt
Filed under: Brassica napus (rape)
Lineage: Eukaryota; Viridiplantae; Streptophyta; Magnoliopsida; Brassicales; Brassicaceae
Description: long non-coding RNA (BNAP_LNC024268)
Source: RNAcentral
UAAUUAGGGUAAUUUGAGUGAUAUUAGUUAGUUGGUUACAAAAUUUUGGAACAUAUUCAAAUGAUAAUAGGUAGGAUCAUUCGUGUCUCUGGAUAGCAAAAAGAAUUCUAAGCAAGACAAUAAAGUUAUUAAUCUUUUUUCUACUAGAUGAAAAUGUAUGCUUUAAAAAAAUAACAAAUAACAUUGGGACUAGAUAGUCAGUUUCUCCCUGACACAGCUCCCAAUGCAAAACCCUUGGCAGGUCCCUGGCCGUUUAACCGGCCUGAAACCACCGUCGUUUGCUGCUGGCGAACCUCUCCUCCCCCCGCCAAUCCCACCUGAUCCUCCAGACAGCUCGUCAUCCCUCUCUCCCCAACACUUUCCACCACUAUCCUCUCCACCUUCUGCUCCAAUUUCCACUGGUCCUUCUACAGUACGUAAGGGAUCUAAGUACGCUCUCUCUACUACUGAUGUCACUAUGGCACCGGUUGAUUCUCUGAACUCAGCUCUCCCUCAAUUUGGUACAAUCUCCUCCAUACCAAAAGAGGGGCUGGAAAACUAAACUGGUCCAAUUCCUGAAUCUGAGAAAGUAACUGUUCCACACUCUGGAUCUGAACCUAACAUUUCUGAAACCCUAAAAAAUAUCCCACCAAAAAACUCCCCCAUUUUCACAAACAAGGCCUCUUCUCACCCAACUUCCCCUUUGGCAUCAACUACCUCUGAGCUCAACCCUAUUGAACAUGUCUCUUCAUCUCCUCCGCCUUUAGCCACUUCCUCUGCUCCCCUUCCCAAACCCUCUUCCCAACCAGUGCGUCAAACUCUAGUCGAAAGACUUCGCCUCUCUGAGGACAAAUCUCUUCAGAGACUAGCCCCUGUUACCAUAGCCCCCUCAGGCAGACCAAGGGUGCUUAUUCCAGAUUCAGUUUUCCAAAAAGGUGCUGAUAUCCAUAAGGACUUCAUCAUCUGCUACUUUAAUGGUAAAGAUCUGCCCUUUAGCCAGACACAAAGCGUUUUCAACCACCUGUGGGGAAAAGGGAAACGUUUGGAAAUUCACAACAAUCCUGUCAACAGAACGGUUCUAGUACGUAUACAGAGUGAUUACCUUAGACAGAAGAUCUUGGAGAAGAACAUAUGGUAUGUAGGAGACUCCAUGUUCCACACUGCUCUUUGGUCCUCUGUCCACUCAAAGAAUACUCCACCUUUGAAAGCAAUCAAGAUCUGGGCUCACCUCACGGGUGUACCGCUAGACCUGCGCUACAAAGAGGGUCUUAGCUUAGUAAAUACCCCUCGUGGCCGGGGCUCGAACUCGGGUGGCGGACACCUCAGCCGAGGUUCCUUUACCACCAAACAAAACCUUUUUAUCUAACCUAGUAUUUGUGUGUUCGUAGAUUUUUGAUUGCAUGUCAAUGUCAUGCAAUUUUCUUGGGCUCCUUAACAUGUUCAGUAUGUUUUUAGCAUUAUCUUAUACUGAAGUUUUUUAUAUGUCAACCUUACAUUCAAGUUACUCACCUAUUUUCACAGAAACAUAAUAUAUAUGACCGAUGAUUGAUGAGAGGUCAUGUGAUUAAGAUAUACAUUUGUUAUAUCAUUUACAAAGUCAUUUGAUGGUAAUGCAAAACCCUUGGAUCCCACCUGAUCCUCCAGACAGCUCGUCAUCCCUCUCUCCCCAACACUUUCCACCACUAUCCUCUCCACCUUCUGCUCCAAUUUCCACUGGUCCUUCUACAGUACGUAAGGGAUCUAAGUACGCUCUCUCUACUACUGAUGUCACUAUGGCACCGGUUGAUUCUCUGAACUCAGCUCUCCCUCAAUUUGGUACAAUCUCCUCCAUACCAAAAGAGGGGCUGGAAAACUAAACUGGUCCAAUUCCUGAAUCUGAGAAAGUAACUGUUCCACACUCUGGAUCUGAACCUAACAUUUCUGAAACCCUAAAAAAUAUCCCACCAAAAAACUCCCCCAUUUUCACAAACAAGGCCUCUUCUCACCCAACUUCCCCUUUGGCAUCAACUACCUCUGAGCUCAACCCUAUUGAACAUGUCUCUUCAUCUCCUCCGCCUUUAGCCACUUCCUCUGCUCCCCUUCCCAAACCCUCUUCCCAACCAGUGCGUCAAACUCUAGUCGAAAGACUUCGCCUCUCUGAGGACAAAUCUCUUCAGAGACUAGCCCCUGUUACCAUAGCCCCCUCAGGCAGACCAAGGGUGCUUAUUCCAGAUUCAGUUUUCCAAAAAGGUGCUGAUAUCCAUAAGGACUUCAUCAUCUGCUACUUUAAUGGUAAAGAUCUGCCCUUUAGCCAGACACAAAGCGUUUUCAACCACCUGUGGGGAAAAGGGAAACGUUUGGAAAUUCACAACAAUCCUGUCAACAGAACGGUUCUAGUACGUAUACAGAGUGAUUACCUUAGACAGAAGAUCUUGGAGAAGAACAUAUGGUAUGUAGGAGACUCCAUGUUCCACACUGCUCUUUGGUCCUCUGUCCACUCAAAGAAUACUCCACCUUUGAAAGCAAUCAAGAUCUGGGCUCACCUCACGGGUGUACCGCUAGACCUGCGCUACAAAGAGGGUCUUAGCUUAGUUGCUGGACUAGUUGGAGACCCCAAAGAGACAGACGAUUUUACGUUGAACCUUGUAAGCUUAACUCUGGCUCAUGUGAAGGUUGAGGUCGACCUAACUAAACCACUACCCUCUGUUGUUGAAUUUGAACGCCAAAGUGGAGAGGUGGUUGAAGUCUCUGUCCAUUAUCUUUGGGUUCCACCCACAUGCUCUCACUGCCAUGAACUUGGUCAUAUUGUGCGGAAUUGCCUUCUCUAUACCUCUCCAGCUGAGGACUCCACUGCUGACCAGGGAAAGAAAAACCCUGAACCUGUCAAGCAUAACAAGAAGUACCAGAGUGUAGUUAAACCCAAACAAAGUACCUAUGUAAGAAAAUAUCAGUUACCUUCAAAGGCUGCUGCUCAAAAUCCAGUACCAAUGGGAUCAGAGUCUCCUAAUAUUAAUCUGAUCAACAACUUUGUUUCUCUGGCCUCUAACGAAGGGACCCCUCAGAUAGUGAUGUCCAGUGGUCGUUUUGCUGGUUCCCAACUUCUUUCUCUCCCACCCUCAUCCAACCCUUUCUUAUCUCCUGAUCCUCCCCCUAGACCCUCCUUAAAACGAUCUCGCUCCUCACCCACCCUGUCCCCGCCUUUAACUUCCCAGCCUACACCUUUUCACCAAUUUAAAACCCCUUCAAAAACCUCUUAAAACCCUUUGUUUCCCUUCACGAACUCCCCCUCGCUUGAUGUCUUAAACCCCCGACCCUUCAACCAGACCCUUUCCCUUACUCUUCCUCCUCCUCUCCCCUCUGCCCCUGAUCCUACUACAACUUCUUCUUAUGUUUUUCCAGUCUCUCCUAUUCUUUCGGGAGAGCAAAUCAACAUUUCUUAAUGAGUGUAAAACUCUUUUUUUGGAAUGUUCGGGGACUUAAUGAACCAACUAAACACGGACCUUUUAUUUCUUGGUUUAAUACUCAUAGACCCCUUUUUGGUGCUAUUCUUGAAUCACAUGUUAAAGAACCUUCUCUAAACACUAUCUUAUCUAGCCUUUGCCCAGGAUGGUGCUUCACUUCCAAUCACUCCUCUGAACCUGAUGGCGAAUCCUUUUAAUUUGGAGAGACUCCCUAAAGGUCCAAAUCCUUGCUCAAUCUAACCAAUGCAUCACUUGCAAGAUUGUUUUCCCAAACCAAGCGCCCAUCAUCUACUCUGCCAUAUACGCCUCAAAUCUAAGUGCUGAUCGAGUUGACCUCUGGGCAGAGCUCAUACAACUCCAGUCCUACCUUGAUUUAGAAAACUGCUGCUGGGUUUUGGGUGGUGACUUCAAUCAGAUUCUCAGGCUUUCUGAACACUCAAAUGGCCACCUUAAUACUCCAGACAGCCUCAUGUAUCAGCUCCAAGACUGUCUACUCCAACUUGGAGUCUUUGAUUUGCGCUUCAUAGGUCCUGCUCACACCUGGACAAAUAGCCAACCCUCAAACCCUAUCUCAAAGAAACUCGAUCGCCUCCUUGUCAACCCCUAUAUUGUCGCAACUUUCCCUAAUGCCCUAGCCUCCUUCCUCCCUCCCCUCAUCUCUGACCAUGCUCCUUGUAUCCUAGACUUAGCUUUCUCCCUACCAAAAGCUGGAACUCAGCCCUUCAAAUUCCAAAACUACCUGACAAAACACCCAAAGUUUUCGCAGCUAAUUAACGAUGUGUGGUUCCAAGCCGGUUCUGCAUGCCAAACCCUUACUCAGC